CGGGUUUGGUUCUCCGCAUGGACGAAGUCUGACGGAGCAACGCCGCGUGAGUGAUGAAGGUUUUCGGAUCGUAAAGCUCUGUUGUUAGGGAAGAACAAGUGCAAGAGUAACUGCUUGCACCUUGACGGUACCUAACCAGAAAGCCACGGCUAACUACGUGCCAGCAGCCGCGGUAAUACGUAGGUGGCAAGCGUUGUCCGGAAUUAUUGGGCGUAAAGGGCUCGCAGGCGGUUUCUUAAGUCUGAUGUGAAAGCCCCCGGCUCAACCGGGGAGGGUCAUUGGAAACUGGGAAACUUGAGUGCAGAAGAGGAGAGUGGAAUUCCACGUGUAGCGGUGAAAUGCGUAGAGAUGUGGAGGAACACCAGUGGCGAAGGCGACUCUCUGGUCUGUAACUGACGCUGAGGAGCGAAAGCGUGGGGAGCGAACAGGAUUAGAUACCCUGGUAGUCCACGCCGUAAACGAUGAGUGCUAAGUGUUAGGGGGUUUCCGCCCCUUAGUGCUGCAGCUAACGCAUUAAGCACUCCGCCUGGGGAGUACGGUCGCAAGACUGAAACUCAAAGGAAUUGACGGGGGCCCGCACAAGCGGUGGAGCAUGUGGUUUAAUUCGAAGCAACGCGAAGAACCUUACCAGGUCUUGACAUCCUCUGACAACCCUAGAGAUAGGGCUUUCCCUUCGGGGACAGAGUGACAGGUGGUGCAUGGUUGUCGUCAGCUCGGGUCGCGAGAUGUUGGGUUAAGUCCCGCAACGAGCAAACCCUUGAUCUUAGUGCCAGUAUACAUUUGGUGACUCUAGUGAGACUGCCUGUGACAAACCGACAGGAGGUGACUAUGACGUCAAUGUCGUGCUCCUUAUGACCUGUUCUACACACGUGCUACCGUGGAUACAACCAGGGCUGAUGACGGCACGAUUGCCAUACCACGGUCUGGUUCUGCCGUGCGAUGA
Molecule: ribosomal RNA, 943 nt
Filed under: Bacillus sp. JZDN42
Lineage: Bacteria; Bacillati; Bacillota; Bacilli; Caryophanales; Bacillaceae
Description: bacterial SSU rRNA
Rfam family: Bacterial small subunit ribosomal RNA
Source: RNAcentral